RNAcentral lists this ribosomal RNA (1179 nucleotides) under Escherichia coli. Its description in RNAcentral is "partial 23S ribosomal RNA". It matches the Rfam family "Bacterial large subunit ribosomal RNA", at positions 1 to 1212 of the family's 2925-position model. Lineage: Bacteria; Pseudomonadati; Pseudomonadota; Gammaproteobacteria; Enterobacterales; Enterobacteriaceae. The record is from RNAcentral.
GGGUUGUGAGGUUAAGCGACUAAGCGUACACGGUGGAUGCCCUGGCAGUCAGAGGCGAUGAAGGACGUGCUAAUCUGCGAUAAGCGUCGGUAAGGUGAUAUGAACCGUUAUAACCGGCGAUUUCCGAAUGGGGAAACCCAGUGUGUUUCGACACACUAUCAUUAACUGAAUCCAUAGGUUAAUGAGGCGAACCGGGGGAACUGAAACAUCUAAGUACCCCGAGGAAAAGAAAUCAACCGAGAUUCCCCCAGUAGCGGCGAGCGAACGGGGAGGAGCCCAGAGCCUGAAUCAGUGUGUGUGUUAGUGGAAGCGUCUGGAAAGGCGUGCGAUACAGGGUGACAGCCCCGUACACAAAAAUGCACAUACUGUGAGCUCGAUGAGUAGGGCGGGACACGUGGUAUCCUGUCUGAAUAUGGGGGGACCAUCCUCCAAGGCUAAAUACUCCUGACUGACCGAUAGUGAACCAGUACCGUGAGGGAAAGGCGAAAAGAACCCCGGCGAGGGGAGUGAAAAAGAACCUGAAACCGUGUACGUACAAGCAGUGGGAGCACGCUUCGGCGUGUGACUGCGUACCUUUUGUAUAAUGGGUCAGCGACUUAUAUUCUGUAGCAAGGUUAACCGAAUAGGGGAGCCGAAGGGAAACCGAGUCUUAACUGGGCGUUAAGUUGCAGGGUAUAGACCCGAAACCCGGUGAUCUAGCCAUGGGCAGGUUGAAGGUUGGGUAACACUAACUGGAGGACCGAACCGACUAAUGUUGAAAAAUUAGCGGAUGACUUGUGGCUGGGGGUGAAAGGCCAAUCAAACCGGGAGAUAGCUGGUUCUCCCCGAAAGCUAUUUAGGUAGCGCCUCGUGAAUUCAUCUCCGGGGGUAGAGCACUGUUUCGGCAAGGGGGUCAUCCCGACUUACCAACCCGAUGCAAACUGCGAAUACCGGAGAAUGUUAUCACGGGAGACACACGGCGGGUGCUAACGUCCGUCGUGAAGAGGGAAACAACCCAGACCGCCAGCUAAGGUCCCAAAGUCAUGGUUAAGUGGGAAACGAUGUGGGAAGGCCCAGACAGCCAGGAUGUUGGCUUAGAAGCAGCCAUCAUUUAAAGAAAGCGUAAUAGCUCACUGGUCGAGUCGGCCUGCGCGGAAGAUGUAACGGGGCUAAACCAUGCACCGAAGCUGCGGCAGCGAC